GUGGCUCAGUGAUAGAGCUCCUGCUUCGUAUGUGGAAGGACCUGGGUUCGAUUCCCGGC
This 59-nucleotide transfer RNA is filed under the name Toxocara canis (dog roundworm). It matches the Rfam family "tRNA", at positions 7 to 64 of the family's 71-position model. From Rfam's summary of the family: Transfer RNA (tRNA) molecules are approximately 80 nucleotides in length. Lineage: Eukaryota; Metazoa; Nematoda; Chromadorea; Rhabditida; Toxocaridae. The record is from Rfam by way of RNAcentral.